CAUGCUAAUUUCAGAAGUUCUAACAGUUGAUUUCUUUGUUUCCAGGGUGACAUCCAGCAGCUGAUGAUUGUAUCGGACCAUCGUGCUGCGCUUGACUACUGUGAGCACUACAGCCCUGACUGUGAGGUUCCUGCACCCGAACAGCCCCAGAACCAAGACCCAAACACUGAUGAAUAUAACACAGAGGAUGAUAACUACUAUUACGAAUAUCCGUACUAUGAGGACAUGGAUGCAGAAAAGACAGAAGAAACGACAGCCGAUGAAACGACUGGAACCGAAACUGAAGACCUAAUGGUGUCUGUUCCGGAUAGCGGUCGUGUGGUUACGUCAGUUAUCACUAGUGGAACAGGAGGCUCCAGCAGUUCAUCGAGUAGCUCCUCGUCAUCCUCCUCUUCAUCCUCUUCAUCAUCCAGCUCUACCACGAGUACUGGCGAGGAACCGUAUGAUGGCUACGAUGGAUACGAGACCGGAUACGAAACAUACUAUGAUGAGACGACCUCACGGCCUGAUGGCUCCCGGACCAUCAGAAUCACUAGCACAGGCACAGGUACCGGUGGAGAAGUGGAUAUGGGACUGGUCGGUGAGGUGGAUAUGGGACUGGGAGACCUGGACAGGCGGAUCAUCACAUCAUCAUCAUCAUCAUCAUCAUCAUCAGGAGGAGGAGGAAGUGGAAGAGUACACUCAACUGUCACAGUCAUUAACAAUGGAACCUCCGGCUCCAAUUCUGGCUCCGGCACUGGCUCUAGCACCAGAAUCAUUACUAGCUCCAGUUCCGGCUCUGGAGUCAGUACCGGCUCCAGCUCCAGCUCCAGCUCCAGCUCCAGCUCCAGCUCCAGCUCUACCUCGGUGAGUUUCGUUGGAACUAGUGAUCCGAAACAGUUUCACUUUUAAGUGAGAAUCAAU
This 903-nucleotide long non-coding RNA is filed under the name Sinocyclocheilus grahami. Its description in RNAcentral is "lncRNA (ENSSGRG00000001641.1)". The record is from RNAcentral. Lineage: Eukaryota; Metazoa; Chordata; Actinopteri; Cypriniformes; Cyprinidae.